AGGCGAGCGCGCUUAGCCUCCCGGCUGCCCCUCCCCCCCACGCGGCGGGUAAGCGAGUGCAGCCGUGCUGCGGCCGUGUUCCCGGGACUGGGCGGGUGAGUGGCACCCGUGUCCCGUAUCAGCCUCGCUACCUCCCCGCUGCCCACGCAGGGCUCUACGCUGAACUUUCGAGCCGCUGGAGGAAGGACUGGUGCUUGCCCCCUCGGCAGCCGCCCCGACCUGGUUUGCGUUUUCCUUGCCGUAGGUAGGCGGCCUCUCCCAGGAUGGCGGCGUCGGAGGGUCGAAACACCCAGGUUCGAGGAUCCGUGCCUGGGUGUGGAAGUCUCUUCCCUGUGCAUGUUUGCAGCUGGGGCAAGGGUCCACGCUCUGCAGUGGCUGCAGGGCUUGGGUAGCCUUCCAGAAAACGAGAGUCCAGAUUCCCAACCUUGGAGAGCAUUCUGGGACAAAAGAAGUGGGAAAUGGCAUGAUUGUCACGCAUGACCUUAUACUACUCCUAGAAGGAAAUGAUACACACAGUUUAACUGAUAUUUCAGAACAGUCUUUCGUAACAAAACCCCACUUCUGGGUCUGGGGUGUUGGGUGAGCAGUACCCUUAGCACUCCAGAAUGAGGAAGAAGACUCCCUGACUUUUUGUGAUGAGCUGCUGGAAGAGCAGUUCCACUGGGUUGAGAGAAAACAGCAGUGACUUUUCUGUGGAAAAUAUUAGCAAGAAAUAGUAGUUACACCUUUGGAAGACCCAUGCUACAUGACACUGCUGUGGAAGACUGCCCAUUGUGUUAGAGAAGUGAAGUUGGAGUGCAGCCAUUCCCUAUCCUGCAACUGAAAAUGUGUGCUCUUCAAUGAGAUACUAACAGAAAACUGCUAACUCAAUUCCCCUAACAAAGUUCUCAUCCUCACCUCCCAAGAAACAUCUCAUUAGGUAACCAUCAUGACCGGGGAUUCGGAUCAUUGGGAUCUCUUGAGUUUUGCACU
This 972-nucleotide long non-coding RNA is filed under the name Struthio camelus australis. Its description in RNAcentral is "lncRNA (ENSSCUG00000015159.1)". Lineage: Eukaryota; Metazoa; Chordata; Aves; Struthioniformes; Struthionidae. The record is from RNAcentral.